GAAGGCAAAUGAGAGGUGUGUUUAAAUCCUAAACAUUAAGCCUUCUUUUAUAGGGGUUAAUCCUCCAACCCUUCUCUUCCCACCGAUGCGGGACAAAUAGUUUUGCCAAAUUCAACAGUUAUAAUCUCCAAUCACUUCAAGUGAAAAGAAAGCCUUCCUUCCUCUCUCUGCUGCCUAUCUGUGGUUGCGGUAAUAAUCUCGAACCUCUUCCAGAAUCAGCGUUGCCCUCCUCCCUCUCUAAGCUGAGUAUCUACGAUUGCCCUAAACUCCAAUCUCUUCCAGCAAAAGGGAUGCCCUCUUCCAUCUCUGAACUACAUAUUCGCAGCUGCCCAUUGCUGGAACCACUCCUAGAAUUUGAGAAAGGGGAUUACUGGCCAAAUAUUGCUCAUAUUCCCAAAAUAUAUAUCGAUGGGGAACACCUGUGAUGACUCAAACGAAGGUGCUUAAACAGAUUGAGUUGAGCGAGGAGGCCGUGGUUUAGAGUAAUGCAUGUCCACUAUAGAAUUCAAAGCUAUUAACGCUCUUAGCUCCAUUGGUGAAUGGAAAGUUGCGCUGAAUGUGGUCUGUCAGCAAAGUGGAAUGAAGUUUUAUCGCUGCUGGAAGAAGGACUUCCCUCGUCUCUUUCUGACCUAAGAAUAGGUCUUUGGUGCCUCACUUCACUUCAACAUCUAGAAAGAGCCUCCUACUAUCGAUUCCAUUACCAAUUUCUGAGUUUUUCAAUCUUCUGUUCGUUGUUCUUAAACCCCAGUCAAUUCAUGGAAUCACAAGGAAGAUCACGAAUGGUCGGAAACUAGCAAUCUCUAUGUCACAAUCAGCUACUUUUUUCAUCAAGCUUGGAAAGCAAAAUAUAUGGAUGAAGAUCUCCAAACUCAGUUCUUUUUCAUCACGUAUUGCUUUGUUCAUUUUGAUCUUUGAGUUUCUAACCACCCUGUAUUCAAUAGGUAAUACUGAUGAUUUUCAAAUUGCUUGUUACCUCUGCCUUUUGAUAGUUAACGCUAAUGCAAUUUAUCAGCCAUUGGCAGUGUAGUUUAAAGGAUGAGCAGGGAAGUCAAAUUGUCAAAAAUAAUAUCUCAUAUACUUCUUCUACUUCAUUGUCAACCCGCCCCACACUCA
This is a non-coding RNA of Nicotiana tabacum (common tobacco), 1113 nucleotides long. The record is from RefSeq and is a predicted model, not a curated record. NCBI's taxonomy places the organism in Eukaryota, Viridiplantae, Streptophyta, Magnoliopsida, Solanales, Solanaceae.